This 258-nucleotide ribosomal RNA is filed under the name uncultured bacterium. RNAcentral's name for it is "partial 16S ribosomal RNA". It matches the Rfam family "Bacterial small subunit ribosomal RNA", at positions 96 to 354 of the family's 1533-position model. The record is from RNAcentral.
UGGCGGACGGGUGAGUAACGCGUGGGGAACCUGCCCUGUACAGGGGGAUAACACUUAGAAAUAGGUGCUAAUACCGCAUAAGCGCACAGUAUCGCAUGAUACAGUGUGAAAAACUCCGGUGGUACAGGAUGGACCCGCGUCUGAUUAGCUGGUUGGCGGGGUAACGGCCUACCAAGGCGACGAUCAGUAGCCGGCCUGAGAGGGCGGACGGCCACACUGGGACUGAGACACGGCCCAGACUCCUACGGGAGGCAGCAG